This 253-nucleotide ribosomal RNA is filed under the name uncultured bacterium. RNAcentral's name for it is "partial 16S ribosomal RNA". It matches the Rfam family "Bacterial small subunit ribosomal RNA", at positions 524 to 776 of the family's 1533-position model. The record is from RNAcentral.
UACAGAGGGUGCGAGCGUUGUCCGGAAUCACUGGGCGUAAAGGGCGCGUAGGCGGCUCGGCACGUCCGUUGUGAAAUCGCCCGGCUCAACUGGGCGGGGUCAGCGGAUACGGUCGAGCUUGAGCAAGCUAGGGGGCAAUGGAAUUCCCGGUGUAGUGGUGGAAUGCGUAGAUAUCAGGAGGAACACCGGUGGCGAAGGCGGGUCUCUGGGCCGAAACUGACGCUGAGGAGCGAAAGCGUGGGGAGCGAACAGG